Molecule: ribosomal RNA, 308 nt
Filed under: uncultured bacterium
Lineage: Bacteria
Description: partial 16S ribosomal RNA
Rfam family: Bacterial small subunit ribosomal RNA
Source: RNAcentral
GAGACAGCAGUAGCCGCGGGAAUACAGAGGGUGCGAGCGUUAAUCGGAUUUACUGGGCGUAAAGCGUGCGUAGGCGGCUUCUUAAGUCGGAUGUGAAAUCCCUGAGCUUAACUUAGGAAUUGCAUUCGAUACUGGGAAGCUAGAGUAUGGGAGAGGAUGGUAGAAUUCCAGGUGUAGCGGUGAAAUGCGUAGAGAUCUGGAGGAAUACCGAUGGCGAAGGCAGCCAUCUGGCCUAAUACUGACGCUGAGGUACGAAAGCAUGGGGAGCAAACAGGGUUAGAUACCCCCGUAGUCCCUGUCUCUUAUAA